This 650-nucleotide ribosomal RNA is filed under the name Bacillus siamensis. RNAcentral's name for it is "bacterial SSU rRNA". It matches the Rfam family "Bacterial small subunit ribosomal RNA", at positions 75 to 709 of the family's 1533-position model. Lineage: Bacteria; Bacillati; Bacillota; Bacilli; Caryophanales; Bacillaceae. The record is from RNAcentral.
GGAGCUUGCUCCCUGAUGUUAGCGGCGGACGGGUGAGUAACACGUGGGUAACCUGCCUGUAAGACUGGGAUAACUCCGGGAAACCGGGGCUAAUACCGGAUGGUUGUUUGAACCGCAUGGUUCAGACAUAAAAGGUGGCUUCGGCUACCACUUACAGAUGGACCCGCGGCGCAUUAGCUAGUUGGUGAGGUAACGGCUCACCAAGGCGACGAUGCGUAGCCGACCUGAGAGGGUGAUCGGCCACACUGGGACUGAGACACGGCCCAGACUCCUACGGGAGGCAGCAGUAGGGAAUCUUCCGCAAUGGACGAAAGUCUGACGGAGCAACGCCGCGUGAGUGAUGAAGGUUUUCGGAUCGUAAAGCUCUGUUGUUAGGGAAGAACAAGUGCCGUUCAAAUAGGGCGGCACCUUGACGGUACCUAACCAGAAAGCCACGGCUAACUACGUGCCAGCAGCCGCGGUAAUACGUAGGUGGCAAGCGUUGUCCGGAAUUAUUGGGCGUAAAGGGCUCGCAGGCGGUUUCUUAAGUCUGAUGUGAAAGCCCCCGGCUCAACCGGGGAGGGUCAUUGGAAACUGGGGAACUUGAGUGCAGAAGAGGAGAGUGGAAUUCCACGUGUAGCGGUGAAAUGCGUAGAGAUGUGGAGGAACAC